This 74-nucleotide transfer RNA is filed under the name Comamonadaceae bacterium. Its description in RNAcentral is "tRNA-Ile". It matches the Rfam family "tRNA". From Rfam's summary of the family: Transfer RNA (tRNA) molecules are approximately 80 nucleotides in length. Lineage: Bacteria; Pseudomonadati; Pseudomonadota; Betaproteobacteria; Burkholderiales; Comamonadaceae. RNAcentral also lists the same sequence under 1 other name. The record is from RNAcentral.
GGUAGCUCAGUUGGAUAGAGCAACGUGCUGAUAACACGUGUGUCGCGGGUUCGACUCCCGCCCAUCCUUCCCCA